Molecule: ribosomal RNA, 465 nt
Filed under: Vreelandella stevensii
Lineage: Bacteria; Pseudomonadati; Pseudomonadota; Gammaproteobacteria; Oceanospirillales; Halomonadaceae
Description: partial 16S ribosomal RNA
Rfam family: Bacterial small subunit ribosomal RNA
Source: RNAcentral
CCUACGGGGGGCUGCAGUGGGGAAUAUUGGACAAUGGGGGCAACCCUGAUCCAGCCAUGCCGCGUGUGUGAAGAAGGCCCUCGGGUUGUAAAGCACUUUCAGUGAGGAAGAACGCCUGGUGGUUAAUACCCAUCAGGAAAGACAUCACUCACAGAAGAGGCACCGGCUAACUCCGUGCCAGCAGCCGCGGUAAUACGGAGGGUGCGAGCGUUAAUCGGAAUUACUGGGCGUAAAGCGCGCGUAGGUGGCUUGAUAAGCCGGUUGUGAAAGCCCCGGGCUCAACCUGGGAACGGCAUCCGGAACUGUCAAGCUAGAGUGCAGGAGAGGAAGGUAGAAUUCCCGGUGUAGCGGUGAAAUGCGUAGAGAUCGGGAGGAAUACCAGUGGCGAAGGCGGCCUUCUGGACUGACACUGACACUGAGGUGCGAAAGCGUGGGUAGCAAACAGGAUUAGAUACCCUUGUAGUC